UACGGAGGGUGCAAGCGUUAUCCGGAUUUACUGGGUUUAAAGGGUGCGUAGGUGGGUCUGUAAGUCAGUGGUGAAAUCUCCGAGCUUAACUCGGAAACUGCCAUUGAUACUAUAGGUCUUGAAUUAUCUGGAGGUAAGCGGAAUAUGUCAUGUAGCGGUGAAAUGCUUAGAUAUGACAUAGAACACCGAUAGCGAAGGCAGCUUACUACAGGAUGAUUGACGCUGAGGCACGAAAGCGUGGGGAGCAAACAGG
This 253-nucleotide ribosomal RNA is filed under the name uncultured bacterium. Its description in RNAcentral is "partial 16S ribosomal RNA". It matches the Rfam family "Bacterial small subunit ribosomal RNA", at positions 524 to 776 of the family's 1533-position model. The record is from RNAcentral.